This 512-nucleotide ribosomal RNA is filed under the name uncultured bacterium. Its description in RNAcentral is "bacterial SSU rRNA". It matches the Rfam family "Bacterial small subunit ribosomal RNA", at positions 791 to 1297 of the family's 1533-position model. The record is from RNAcentral.
UAGUCCACGCCGUAAACGAUGAGCACUAGUUUUUGGGGGUAUUGACCCCUUCAGAAACGUAGCUAACGCAUUAAGUGCUCCGCCUGGGGAGUACGGUCGCAAGACUAAAACUCAAAGGAAUUGACGGGGGCCCGCACAAGCGGUGGAUUAUGUGGUUUAAUUCGAAGCAACGCGCAGAACCUUACCUGGGCUUGAACUCCUGAGAACAUCGAGUAAUUUUGAUGGUGCCCUUCGGGGAAUUCAGUGAGAGGUGCUGCAUGGCUGUCGUCAGCUCGUGUUGUGAAAUGUUGGGUUAAGUCUCGCAACGAGCGCAACCCCUAUCUUUAGUUGCCAGCAUUAAGUUGGGCACUCUAGAGAGACUGCCUGGGUUAACCAGGAGGAAGGUGGGGAUGACGUCAAGUCCUCAUGGCCCUUAUGUCCAGGGCUACACACGUAAUACAAUGGUGCAAACAAAGGGACGCGAACUCGCGAGGGGGAGGCGAAAUACUCAAAAAUUAGCAUCUAAGUCCGGA